Molecule: non-coding RNA, 4814 nt
Organism: Phoenix dactylifera (date palm)
Lineage: Eukaryota; Viridiplantae; Streptophyta; Magnoliopsida; Arecales; Arecaceae
Source: RefSeq, a predicted model, not a curated record
GCUGACCGCUUAUUUCUCCCUCCGUUUUCUUGGGUCUCUCGUGGUGCAUGCAGUGUAGGGUAUAAUUUCUCAUCUUCUUGGGGUUCGGUCGAUCGGUAAGCGAGCGUUUUUAGCUUCAAGAGCUUCGAGAACUGUUCCCUUUUUCUCUCUUCUUGGCGUUCUUCUUCGUCUUCUCCUACUCCUACUCAACGCAAUCUUCUUGGAGAUGGUGGGCAAAUUGUUAGUGUAGUUCUUGUUCUUUAGCGUUGGUCUUUGUUAAAACCAACCCCCAUCUCUCCUCUCCUCCGGUUGUCUUCUCUCUUCUUGAACGAUAGGCGAGGCAGCCCUUGUUAGUCUAGAAGCACAAAUAUAAUUGAUAAAUCAAUAAUAUUUAAUUUAAUUAAACAGCUCUGGGGGUUCUGAUGUCCCGCAGGCAACCGAUCUGCAGCCAUCUUGAGAUGGAGAGGUCCUCGACUGGAGGAGAGGAGAAGGGGAGAUCUUUGGGUCCCAUCGAUUCAAGAUUCGUCUGAGCCUCCCUGUUUGCUUCUACUAUUCUUAUCGUUCUCCUUUUUCUUCUUCUUGCUCUUCCAGGAGGUGAAGGCCGUGUUGUUCUGCCUCUGGCUCUCAUCCCUUCUCUUCUUUUCUUUUCUUUUCUAUUGCUUUAUAAGGAGGCUGUGAUGACUCCGGGCAGAGGGUUUGCGGCAUAAUGAAGCGGAAAAUGGUUAAUUCCAAACGGCAAGGCGAUCUUGGAUGGCCUGCUGCUGUUUAGCAGGCAACCGUUCCCAGCCGAUUUGGUUUAGUUGUAGAGAAUACCCGAAGUAACGUUACAAUGCAGGAUUAAAUGGUGAAUCUGAGCCUCCUUUUUCCUUUUAACAUCUUCACUUUUCUAAUUUCUGUUCUUUUUCUUUCCCAAGUUUCAAUUUUUCAACGCUUCUUUGUCAUAUUUUUGGAGAGUUGUUCUUGUGGCUCCUCAACAAUUUAUAGAUUUUGGAGGCCGAUGAAUCAUCCGAGACGGACUGCAUCAAUAUUAGCUAGGGUUCCGAGAAACCCCCAAAUGCUAAAUAUUUUUUUUAGAGAAUUCGUUUUCGAAAAUCAGGGAAUAUUUGCUUGCUAUUAGGGUCGCACAUUGUUCUCGAUCUUGGCUCAAUUUUUUUCUUCUUGUUUUUUUACUUAGGUUAUUUUUAACCCAUGUAACAAGGGUUUUGAUCUUCUAUUGGCUUCCUUUUGCUCCAUUAUUUUUUAGUCUUGUCCUUCUUCGUUUGAGCGUCAAUAUGGCGAAAAGACAGCCAGAAAAUUCUAUUUCGCCGUAACUACCUGGUUCCAUGAGCUGGUUUCUCUGGCGUUGCUCUUCUAAUAUGGCUUUCUUAGGGGCUGACUGGGCUUUGUGACAACUUCGCGUUGCAGUAUUUUUUCAAGCCCGUAUGAAGGAGUUCCAGGACCCUCUAGAAAUUCCUCUGGAGUUGGUAGUAGGCAACCCAUCUGCAGCCAUCAUGAGAUGGAGAGGUUGCCGGCCGGAGGAGCAGAGAAGGGAGAUCAUUUGGUUCCAUCGAUUCAAGAGUUCCUCUGAGCCUCCUAGUUUGCGUCCACCAUUCUUCUCUUUCUUCCUUUUCUUCUUGCUACUUCCAGUGGGUAAAUGCUGUGAUGUUCUGCCUCUUGCUCUCCUCCUUUCUCUUUAGUCUUUUCUUUUCUAUUGCUUUAGUAGAAGAGGCUGUAAUGAAUCUGGGCAGAGGGUUUGUGGCAUUGUGAAUCGGAAAACAGUUAAUUCCAAAUGGCAAGGCGAUCAUGGAUGGCCUAUUACUGUUUAGCAGGCAACUGAUCACAGCUGAUUUGGUUUAAUUCUGUAGAGGGUAUUCGAAGUAAUUAUACAAUGCUGGAUUAAACAGUGAACCUGAGCCUCCUUUUUUUUCUUCCCCUUCACUUUUUUAAUUUCUGUUUAUUUUCUUUUUGAAGAUUCUACAUUUCAAUGCUUUUAACUUCUUUUCUAGAAUCAAUUUUGUAUGAUGAGCUGGUCCCGUGUGGCUCUACAAAAAUUCAUAGGUUUUGGAGGCUGAUGAAUGAUCAGGGAUGGGGACUGCAUCAAUAGUAGCUAGGCUUCUGAGAACCUGAGUCCUUAAUAUUUUUUUUUUGAUUUUUUUUUUGAAAGUUAGAAUAUUUGCUUGUUAUUAUGGUUCCACAGUGUUCUCAAUUCUGACUCUUUUCUUCUUUUUUACUCAAGUUGUUUUUCCCAUGUAAUGAUGGUUUUAAUCUUGCAUUGCCUUCCUUUUAAUCUUGCAGUCUUUUCCUUCUUCUUUCGAGCAUCAAUAUUAUGAAAAGACAAUCUGAAAAGUCUCCAAUGCUAUGCUCCAGACCAAAUUCUAUUUUGCAGUAACUACUUGGUUCCUGAGCUGCUUUCUCUAGCAUUGCUUUUCUAACAUGGCUUACUUAGGGGCUGAGUGGACUUGUGACUCACUAUUCUUUUUAGCCUCUAUUCUGGAGUUGUAGGAACCUAUAAAAAUUUAUCUACUUUUUUUUCCCUUAAUCUUUCUACUUUACUCUGCAAUGAUAGUAGUAAGUUGCUUGCUUUUAUGCUUCUGUGCUUUAAAAACCUGCUUUUUAUACAACCUGUUUGGAUUUGAUAUGUACUCCGUGGGCUAACACCAUCCAUGAAAUACCCUUUCCUCUUAAACAUAUCAGCAUUUCUUGUCUACUGAAAUCAUUCAUUCAUGUAAUCAUUUUCCACAUAUCCUUAAUGGAUGUCUCAAACAAAAAUGUAAACUUUUUUUUAUUUUUGAGAACUUAUACUUAUUCUAUAUUUUGUAGUAUUAUGCCCCAAUUUUUUUGGGGUCAAGGUGGAAAUAAAAUGUAGUAUUAAUUUGGAGAUGGCACAAGAUUUCUGGUAAAUUGUACCAAACAAGCCAUUUUUUUGCUUCCUUUUUAUUGUUUGUUAAUUAUUGUACUCUAUUCUUUUAUCAUUUUUUUUUUUUAAUGUCAAGGCCUUUUCCUCCAGCAACUUUUAGAUGCAUAUGUUUUGUGGUGGUCAUGAUGAUGAUUGCGUGAAAGGCUUUCCCCUCUUCUAAAACAGUAAUUCUCUUAUUAUUAACCCAUUGCACCUUCUUGGUGCUGGAGUUGGAGGGUGGUAUCAAUAUCCUUUUUUCUUUCCCCUUCUUUCCAGUCUAAAACUAGUGAUCAUUUGUAUAGGAGUGAGCCUUAUUUGUCAGGCCAUGAUCUGUUAUUAUCAGUUUUUAGAUUACUGAGGUGAUAAUGAGAUGUUCUGAAUGUAAUUUCCCAGUAGAAGAUGUGUAGUUUGCAUGUAAUACUCUGAAACCAAAACUCCAGCAAUAACUUUCACAUUUUUUGAUUGUUCCAGAUUACAUACCCCUUUGUUAUAUUUUUUAAUAUUUUUUAAAAGAUUGGUUUAGCACACAUCUUAUGCCUACAUACGGGCAUUGUAAAUAUACAUGAACAAAAAUCGCACACACAUGCAUACGUAAGUAUACCUGGACUUGCACUGUUGUUGGUCAUGUAUGAUGCAUGUUGUUUAUUCAAAAAGAAAAAAGAGCUUGGGAUGCUUGACUAUGAUCUCAUCUAUCAGUGCUGUUAGGUAUUAAUAUGGUGAACUUACUUCCCAUUUUUGUCUAUGUGCAUGUUUCCUCUUUCUCUUAAUUAUUUAUUAGGGAGCAACCAUGGAGGGCAUAUUUACUAGAAUGUAUUUACACUAGGAAAGUGAGACAGCAGCUCUUCCAUAAAUUCCAGCCAUUCUGCACUCUUUUCUAUAUGCAUAUAAAAUACAUGGGCAUGUGAAAAUUUUUAUAUCUAUCCACAUAUAUGCUUGAACAUACAUAUCCUGGUUUUUGGUUCUAAAUCUUGUUAUAUGCAAAUGCAUCUUCAUUCAUUUUUUUUUAGUUUUCUCAAUUUUUAUGGGUGAAUAUUUGUAGACUAUUUCUCUAGUUUUGAUUAUAUAGAAACUUAUUUUCUUCGACACUGAAUGACUGUGUCCAUUGUAUGGAUUUGCUAAGCUGUGUGCUGUAAUUCUUUAUUCUGAUUGGAUAUAGUGAGAUGAAUAUUUAAUUAUCUGCUGUGUGGCAGGCAAUCAGUUUCUGCCAUUUGUUCCCAUUUGCUGUGUGGGUGGGUUUCUCAUCUUUCUCAUAGCACAAUGCUGGAAAGUAGGUAAAUCUGGGCGACCUUUUGCUCUCCCAUCACUAUUCACAUUCUGUAUGUAUGCUUGUUAACAGGUGGUGAUGAUAAGCCACAAUCAUAUGAUUCUGUUUAUGGUAUCUUUGCAUGCCAUGGAACCAUUAGUAAUUAAGCCCUUUAUCUCUCCUCUUCCUAUCUUUGAUGAUGGUGGGGCUACUUGCGUGAACUGCCCUCAUGGGCAACCAGUUGCAGCCAUUUUUAGGUGGGAGUGGUUGGAAGGUGAUUGGAUUCCAUAAAUUUAUGGAUUCUUCUGCACCCCAAACCCGAUUUCACAGCUCUUUCCCUUCUCAAUUCAUUGUACCUUCCGAAGACUAUCACUGUUAUGCAGAUAACAGUGCCUUGAAAAUCCAUGGUUGGUGUUCCUUGCUUUGCGGUGCUUUUAGAAUCAUUUGGACAAUUUUUUCUUCGUUGUUUCUCUUUGCAUGAAAAGAUGUAUACCAGUAAUUUUUACAUUCUUUUUUCCCCUCCCCUACUACUAGAUAUGUAAAUUUAUUCUCAAGUCUGGACGAUUUUUUUUUUUUUUUUUUUAUGUUUUGUUUUUUUAGUAUAUCAGAUCUUUGUCCCUAGCUUAAUUGUUCUUGAAUGCUUGAACUUUUGCCAUGAUUGGCUAUAACAUUUACCAAUCUUAUUUGUUCUCUUUAAGAGGUUCUCCCUUCUCAUAA